CCUUGUCCACUUCUAUUUCUAGCAAAUAUAUCUUAACAAUGGUACCAACAUUCACAAAAGGCCGCAGGAACAGCAGGGUAUGAUUUACAUAAAGCCCAUGCUUCAUUUCCAUGCCUUCUUUGGCACUCGUUCCAGCAACGCUCAUCAGGCUUUUCUCCAUCGCAUUUAGUCUCUAUCCAAGGGUACCCUUCGUGACAGGUUUUAGCAUCAAUCUUGACUACUGUGUAAUUCGCUGCAUCAGCAUAAUAAUUUUUUUUUUGAGUACAAAAUUUUUUUUGGCUAGGGCAUAAAUAAAAUUUUUGAUAAAAGAGAAAGGGUAGCAAUUAAUUUUAGGGUAGCCCCGUUGGGCCUAUACUUUUAAUUAUGGGCAUUCUAUUAGCUUUAUAAUUGUUGCAAAUGCUUGUAAAGUAAAUUAACGAAAAGUGAAUAACAAAAAGUAGAAUGCUAACAUCGGUGCCCUAAAAUUAGGGUCACGUAUAACCUGUUACGCAUAUGACAUGACAAUUGAAAAUAUUGGUUGAAAAACUGGUAAAAUAUCUGCGGAUUGCAUCUAAGAGGACCGAUUAUCGGUUCAAAUUGUUGGUGGGAACUCAAAUAAUUGAUUAUAUAUGUAUAGAAAUUAAAUGAUUGUCUGGGUUAUUCAAAAAAUAGACCAACUACUUUGAUUGAUUAAAGUGAAGAUUGGGGAUCUGAUCUUCUGAUCUUAAAAAAAAAAAAAAGAUGUGAAAGACAGGAUUAAUACCUGAGAGAAGAAUAGUGAGGAGAAGAAUGGAGUGAAACGAUGAAGAAAAUGUGGAGGCUGCCAUCU
This 808-nucleotide long non-coding RNA is filed under the name Coffea arabica (coffee). Its description in RNAcentral is "long non-coding RNA (CARA_LNC003817)". Lineage: Eukaryota; Viridiplantae; Streptophyta; Magnoliopsida; Gentianales; Rubiaceae. The record is from RNAcentral.